GUGACUGGGGGAUCUGAUGGUGGCAAUUUAGUAAGACCGUAAAAGCGAGGAUUUGAUCUGUUCUCAAAUUUUGAACUUCGUCGUCUUCGUCUCGGCUUCCGUCUGAAAGUCUACGGAAAUGUUUCAAUAUGGGUGAUUUCGAGAUGUCGACGGCCUUGAAGAAGGCCUGUGCGUAUGAGGCCGCAAUACGGCAAGAGAAGCGGUGGCGUUGGUCACGGUUUUUGAGAAGAAAGUCUCAGAUUGGAGAACCAGACGCUGUAGUGAUAAUCAAAGAUAUUGGGUAAGAGUUGCGAGAAGUUACAAGUAAAUUGGAGAAAGUGAUGAACAGGAAAUACAAACUGUGAAUGAGAAUAAAUUGGUGGGAAAUAUUACUACCAAGAUAGACAUAUCAUUACGGCCUCAGAAUUCUAUUGGUCGUAGUGAGUCCACGAUUAUCUUAAAUGGUACUCCUCUGGAACAAGCGACAUCUCAUGACUUGUGGAAUGGACAUGUCAGGCUAAUGAUUCCUCUCAUGAAAUACUUAGCAGAACUGCAGAAGAGAUGAGAAAACCUAAGCGACAUGAGCAAACGUGUGUGUUGAAUAUGAACGUGAUGCAGAAAGAUGAUACUGAUACUUGAGUGAGACUUUUCAGAAAAAGAAAAAGAGUACUCAGACAUGGGAUUAAAUAUUAUCCUUUAAACAGGCAAUGUUUAAACCUUUACUUUCUCAAGCACUCAAUUUGUAGAAAGCACAAGGACUUGCUGAAUAAUUCAGAUGGUAAUUCUUCUUGAAAUUGGAGCAUUUAAAAAGGAAGAUGGGGACGGUAGAGACUUAGAACUGAAGCUUCAUGGUUGAAAUAUCUUAAGACAGUCGGCAACCACCAUGCUUAGCACGUCAGGCAAUAGUCAUUUUAUAGUCAACAGGAGCGAGUUAAAGAAAAAGAAGCUUAGCGUUUAUGGAUACCAUUUCCUUGCUGUCCCAAAUUCCAACACUCUCAAUUUGGAAAGUUGAAGUACUACAAAAUGUUGAAAUUCUCUAUUGCACGAUGUGUCUGGACUCUUGAGGGGGCUUAAACACAAUGGAGAGAUUACAAGCAAGUUGUCCAUUCAUGGCCUUACAACCAAGUGGAGACAAAGAUUAUAUGGAGGAACACCGAUAAAGCAAUUACUUGGAGUUUAUGGCUUGAAAGAAUUAUCGAAUUUCCUUGAGAGGGAUGGACUCUAGUUGGCAAAAUUUGAAUGCCCCUCCUAGACUUCCAUUUCCCUUCCAGUUUUUCUUGCGAUUUACGCUUAUUUGGAUGCCUUUCUGCUUACUCCUUCUAGGGGGAUAGAUUGAUUCCUCUUCUUCUUCUUUUUUUUAAUCUAAACUUAUCUUUAUAUUUUUCAUCUCAGCCUCUUUGUAGACUUUUCUUCAACGUCUCUCAGCUUUUCCCCCCUUUGAGUUCCUCUUUAUAAAAUUGAAAAUAUAAACUGCCUACCAUAGCUUUUAAGCUGUCAAAAGUGUAGUUUUAUUGUGUUAAAAAAAAUUAGUUAAGCUUUUGGGAAUUUUUAUGUAGUUCCAAAUUCGUCACCUUUAUGUAAGGAGGAAGAAAAGAGUGCAAGAUCACAGGUUCGUCUCAAAAAAAGAAUAUGAAAGAAGAAGCUUAAGUAGAUAAUAAUUUUUUAGUCCAGUGGUCGAACUUUUCAGCCUAAAGUGAGCAUCUUAUCCUGUCUGGUAGCGAAGUUAGUGGCAGGCCACAAGGCCUUCAAAGUAUCGUCCGUAGAGCAUGCCUCUGCAUUGCCUUUUUCUUUCUUUCUUUCU
Molecule: long non-coding RNA, 1780 nt
Organism: Cucurbita maxima (winter squash)
Lineage: Eukaryota; Viridiplantae; Streptophyta; Magnoliopsida; Cucurbitales; Cucurbitaceae
Exons: 6
Source: RefSeq, a predicted model, not a curated record